RNAcentral lists this ribosomal RNA (757 nucleotides) under Globigerinoides ruber albus. Its description in RNAcentral is "SSU rRNA". It matches the Rfam family "Eukaryotic small subunit ribosomal RNA", at positions 1211 to 1598 of the family's 1831-position model. The record is from RNAcentral. Lineage: Eukaryota; Foraminifera; Rotaliida; Globigerinidae.
AAUCUUACCGGGUCCGGACGUAUCGAGGAUUGACAGAUAGUUAUACAUGCCCUACAAGCAAGUAGGAGUCAGGUUUUAAACCUAAUGGCUCUUUCAUGAUUAUAUGAUAGGUGGUGCAUGGCCGUUCUUAGUUCGUGGAGUGAUCUGUCUGCUUAAUUGCGUUUCAAAUUUUUAACCGAGGACCGGGUUUUGGUUUGGCUAGUGGUCCUACGAUGACUGUGAACUGUCAUGUCUUCGGAUGUACGACUAUCGGUCUAGGAUCACAUGACUUGCCCCUGGGACUCUUUUGAACGCAACGGACGUGAUCGCAACCCCUUGUUGAGAUUAGAGAUAGUCUCGAUAUUCACUGGCCAAACUGGCUGCUUUAUGCAGUCUUGUUGAAUGGUGGAUAAACUCGGGGGACUGCUGACUAUAACCAUUUCUCAAAACAGAGGAAGGUUGCGGCAAUAACAGGUCUGUGAUGCCCUCAGAUGUCCCGGGCUGCACACGUGCUACAAUGAGUGGCGCAAUGUGCUAAUGUUUUAAGGGAUAAGCGUGCGGCCAGUAGAACGUCGGCAAUUGCCCUGGCGUCUUCUACCGCACGAUUAUCAGCCUUCCCUUAACAGGGCGGGCAACCUUUUCAAAAUACCGGUUUGAUGUUAAAGUAUAGAGUCGUUUUUUUUGGAUGGUGGUUUACGAACCAAUACCAUCCGCAACUGCUCGCGAGUUUGUGGUUCUGGUGACUCAUGGUGGGGACCGAUGUUUGUAAUUGUUUGUC